AAUCAUUGGCAAGCGUGCUGUAUCAGCCACCCGUGAUGAUAUCGAUAUCAGCACAGUUGCAAAAGCUUUAUCACACCUUUAAUCUGUAUGACGUCACGUCAUCGAUUGUAGUCACUGUUGCAAAGGCUUUAUCAAACCCCUUAUCUGUAUGACGUCAUGUCAAACCUAUAAUCUGUAUGACGUCAUUUCAAACCUCCUUAUCUAUAUGACGUCAUGUCACAUAAACAAAUCUACUUAAAGUAUAUGUAUAUAAUAAAGUGUAUAUGAUAUGGCUUUUUCAAUAUCACACACCAUAUCAACCCUCAACCAAUAUAAUCCCUCGAGCAGAGCUCUUGGGAUUAUAUUGGUG
RNAcentral lists this long non-coding RNA (349 nucleotides) under Mytilus galloprovincialis (Mediterranean mussel). Lineage: Eukaryota; Metazoa; Mollusca; Bivalvia; Mytilida; Mytilidae. The record is from RNAcentral.